AAACCCAAUCCUAUUGGGAUUGUCGUAUACUAAAUUCAUAGGUAUGCGAAGCAAACCUGGGGAACUGAAACAUCUAAGUACCCAGAGGAAAAGAAAUCAAUCGAGAUUCCGUUAGUAGCGGCGAGCGAACGUGGAAGAGCCCAGUUGCUAACUUACUAUUUUUUCUAGCAGAAUGUUCUGGAAAGUUCAGCCAUAGCGGGUGAUAGUCCCGUAUGUAAAAGAUGAAUUAGUAGGGGUGACAAUGAGUAGGUCGGGACACGUGUAAUCCUGACUGAAGAUGGGGGGACCAUCCUCCAAGGCUAAAUACUACUUACUGACCGAUAGUGAACUAGUACCGUGAGGGAAAGGUGAAAAGAACCCCGAUGAGGGGAGUGAAAUAGAACCUGAAACCGUAUGCGUACAAGCAGUCGGAGCAUCUCUUUAGAGAGAUGUGACGGCGUACCUUUUGUAUAAUGGGUCAGCGACUUACUUGUUGUAGCGAGCUUAACCGUUUAGGGGAGGCGUAGAGAAAUCGAGUCUGAAAUGGGCGUUUUAGUUGCAAC
Molecule: ribosomal RNA, 542 nt
Filed under: Coxiella-like endosymbiont
Lineage: Bacteria; Pseudomonadati; Pseudomonadota; Gammaproteobacteria; Legionellales; Coxiellaceae
Description: partial 23S ribosomal RNA
Rfam family: Bacterial large subunit ribosomal RNA
Source: RNAcentral